GACGAACGCUGGCGGCGUGCUUAACACAUGCAAGUCGAGCGGUAAGGCCCUUUCGGGGGUACACGAGCGGCGAACGGGUGAGUGACACGUGGGUGACCUGCCUCUAGCUCUGGGAUAAGCCUGGGAAGCUGGGUCUAAUACCGGAUAUGACCUCGCGGUGCAUGUUGCGGGGUGGAAAGCCUUGUGCGGCUAGGGAUGGGCCCGCGGCCUAUCAGCUUGUUGGUGGGGNGAUGGCCUACCAAGGCGACGACGGGUAGCCGGCCUGAGAGGGCGACCGGCCACACUGGGACUGAGACACGGCCCAGACUCCUACGGGAGGCAGCAGUGGGGAAUCUUGCGCAAUGGGCGAAAGCCUGACGCAGCGACGCCGCGUGA
RNAcentral lists this ribosomal RNA (375 nucleotides) under uncultured bacterium. RNAcentral's name for it is "bacterial SSU rRNA". It matches the Rfam family "Bacterial small subunit ribosomal RNA", at positions 28 to 404 of the family's 1533-position model. The record is from RNAcentral.